Molecule: long non-coding RNA, 278 nt
Filed under: Olea europaea subsp. europaea
Lineage: Eukaryota; Viridiplantae; Streptophyta; Magnoliopsida; Lamiales; Oleaceae
Source: RNAcentral
CUAGAUGUAUUCGAAUUUUUUUGUAAACGAAUGAAGUGGAUUGCAAAAAGAAAAUACAGAUUUCUAUACAUAAAAUUUCAAUAUGACGGUGGGUUGCCCGGGAUUUGAACCCAGAACUAGUCGAUGGAGUAGAUAAUUUUCUUGUUAUGUUAACUAAAUAAGAAAAAACCCCUCCCCAAGCCGUGCUUGCAUUUUUCAUUGCACACGGCUUUCCCUAUGUAUACAUCUAUAAAGACUUUAAAAAGUUGAAUACUCGGUUGAUUUAACCCUUAGUACAU